GGAAAAGAAACCAACAGGGAUUACCUCAGUAACGGCGAGUGAAGCGGUAACAGCUCAAAUUUGAAAUCUGGGUCUUUCAGGCUCCGAGUUGUAAUUUGUAGAAGAUGCUUCGGGUGCGGCUCCGGUCUAAGUUCCUUGGAACAGGACGUCAUAGAGGGUGAGAAUCCCGUAUGUGAUCGGUUGCUUGCGCCCAUGUGAAGCUCUUUCGACGAGUCGAGUUGUUUGGGAAUGCAGCUCAAAAUGGGUGGUAAAUUUCAUCUAAAGCUAAAUAUUGGCCAGAGACCGAUAGCGCACAAGUAGAGUGAUCGAAAGAUGAAAAGCACUUUGGAAAGAGAGUUAAACAGUACGUGAAAUUGUUGAAAGGGAAGCGCUUGCAACCAGACUUGCGCGUUGUCGAUCAUCUAGUGUUCUCACUGGUGCACUCGAUUUCGCUCAGGCCAGCAUCGGUUUUGGUGGUUGGAUAAAGGCCUUGGGAAUGUAGCUUCUUUCGGGGAGUGUUAUAGCCCUCGGUGCAAUGCAGCCUACCGGGACCGAGGACCGCGCUUCGGCUAGGAUGCUGGCGUA
This 564-nucleotide ribosomal RNA is filed under the name uncultured fungus. Its description in RNAcentral is "eukaryotic LSU rRNA". It matches the Rfam family "Eukaryotic large subunit ribosomal RNA", at positions 55 to 633 of the family's 3401-position model. Lineage: Eukaryota; Fungi. The record is from RNAcentral.